UCUAUCAGUCAUGCUAGUAAAUAUAUAUAGGAACAAAUUAGGUUAAUGAUAAUGGGCCUAAGUUUAUUUUGAAACCCAAUAUUAAAUUAAAAACUGAAUAAAGUUAAAUAAUUAAAAUAGUUAAAAUUAAAAUAAAAACUAAUUAACCUAUUUAUUUAUUCUAGACCCAAUAUAAAAAUAAAUAGACUCAAAAAAAAAAAGUCGGGCACCAAAAUGCUCGAAAAAAUAAAAUGAACACGUCAAAAUAAUCAGCGCGAAAUAAAUGACUCGGAAAAAUACAGCGUUUGGUCGGAUUUUG
RNAcentral lists this long non-coding RNA (298 nucleotides) under Lathyrus oleraceus (garden pea). RNAcentral describes it as "Pisum sativum (pea) long non-coding RNA (PSAT_LNC017861)". The record is from RNAcentral. Lineage: Eukaryota; Viridiplantae; Streptophyta; Magnoliopsida; Fabales; Fabaceae.